GUUAAAGAGUUUUUUUCUUUUUUUUAAAGAAUUACUUUGAAAAAUGAAGUAAGACGUAUUCUCAACAACCAACUUCUGCCAAAAUAUGCAAAGAAUAAAACAGGCCAUAAGAAUCCAUUGAUGUGUACAAAAUUAUUUUUUGACAGAAACAGAAACAAGGUAAACACAUGGAAGAUUCAAGUGAGAACUGAACUGGAACCCAGAAGGAAAAGCAGCAAGUCAAUAUAUUUCCUUUUAUCUUCUAACAAAGGAAAAAGCUGGUGUUCAAAGGAGUAACUACUACCCUGGAGAAGUUCAUGAUUUUUUAAGAUAUAAUAGAUGUAGAUUUUGAAAAAUAAACAAAGCUAAUUUGUCUAGGAA
Molecule: long non-coding RNA, 360 nt
Filed under: Rhinopithecus roxellana (golden snub-nosed monkey)
Lineage: Eukaryota; Metazoa; Chordata; Mammalia; Primates; Cercopithecidae
Description: lncRNA (ENSRROG00000045862.1)
Source: RNAcentral